RNAcentral lists this ribosomal RNA (301 nucleotides) under uncultured bacterium. RNAcentral describes it as "partial 16S ribosomal RNA". It matches the Rfam family "Bacterial small subunit ribosomal RNA", at positions 509 to 809 of the family's 1533-position model. The record is from RNAcentral.
CAGUCGCCGCGGUAAUACGAAGGGUGCAAGCGUUAAUCGGAAUUACUGGGCGUAAAGCGUGCGUAGGCGGUGAGUUAAGUCUGCUGUGAAAUCCCCGGGCUCAACCUGGGAAUGGCAGUGGAUACUGGCAAGCUAGAGUGUGUCAGAGGAUGGUGGAAUUCCCGGUGUAGCGGUGAAAUGCGUAGAGAUCGGGAGGAACAUCAGUGGCGAAGGCGGCCAUCUGGGACAACACUGACGCUGAGGCACGAAAGCGUGGGGAGCAAACAGGAUUAGAUACCCCAGUAGUCCCUGUCUCUUAUAA